UCCCUAAAGAAAAAGAUUCAGGGAACACUAUAAUUUGCACUAUUUGUACAGCCUUCAGUGGAAGCGUGAGAAGGUGGCUAAAGGGAAAAUAGAAGUCAUGAAAACUGAAAAUAUGAGGAAGGGAUGGAGGCAAGUUUGGGAGCAACCGUACAUCUGGGAGAUGAUUUUGGAGGUGUGAAGAAGAGAAAACAUCAUUUCCUGGCAUGUCUUUUACUCCAGAUGAACAUAUCAGUACGCUCUUUUUGAUUGCUUACCUGCUGUUAGUGCUCUGUGAAGUGAUCCCGUCACCACAAGACUGUUUCCCACUCAGCUUCCCACAUACACAACCCCCAUGAUGGAUCUGCUACACUCCAAAUCAUGUGAGUGACAACAGGUUUGACAGCCUUUGGGGCGGUGAAGGAUCUGG
RNAcentral lists this long non-coding RNA (406 nucleotides) under Parus major (Great Tit). RNAcentral describes it as "lncRNA (ENSPMJG00000016894.1)". The record is from RNAcentral. Lineage: Eukaryota; Metazoa; Chordata; Aves; Passeriformes; Paridae.